UCAGGUAGGGAUACCCGCUGAACUUAAGCAUAUC
This 34-nucleotide ribosomal RNA is filed under the name Aspergillus aculeatus. RNAcentral describes it as "partial 28S ribosomal RNA". Lineage: Eukaryota; Fungi; Ascomycota; Eurotiomycetes; Eurotiales; Aspergillaceae. The record is from RNAcentral. RNAcentral also lists the same sequence under 3 other names.